Molecule: ribosomal RNA, 119 nt
Filed under: Pteropus alecto (black flying fox)
Lineage: Eukaryota; Metazoa; Chordata; Mammalia; Chiroptera; Pteropodidae
Source: RNAcentral
GUCUACGGCCAUGCUACCCUGAACAAGCCCAAUCCCAUCUGAUCUCGGAAGCUAAGCAGGGUCGGGCCUGGUUAGUACUUGGAUGGGAGACCACCUAGGAAGACCAGGUGCUAUAGGCG